GGGUUGUGAGGUUAAGCGACUAAGCGUACACGGUGGAUGCCCUGGCAGUCAGAGGCGAUGAAGGACGUGCUAAUCUGCGAUAAGCGCCGGUAAGGUGAUAUGAACCGUUAUAACCGGCGAUUUCCGAAUGGGGAAACCCAGUGUGACUCGUCACACUAUCAUUAACUGAAUCCAUAGGUUAAUGAGGCGAACCGGGGGAACUGAAACAUCUAAGUACCCCGAGGAAAAGAAAUCAACCGAGAUUCCCCCAGUAGCGGCGAGCGAACGGGGAGGAGCCCAGAGCCUGAAUCAGCAUGUGUGUUAGUGGAAGCGUCUGGAAAGGCGCGCGAUACAGGGUGACAGCCCCGUACACAAAAGCGCAUGUGCUGUGAGCUCGAUGAGUAGGGCGGGACACGUGGUAUCCUGUCUGAAUAUGGGGGGACCAUCCUCCAAGGCUAAAUACUCCUGACUGACCGAUAGUGAACCAGUACCGUGAGGGAAAGGCGAAAAGAACCCCGGCGAGGGGAGUGAAAAAGAACCUGAAACCGUGUACGUACAAGCAGUGGGAGCACCCUU
RNAcentral lists this ribosomal RNA (555 nucleotides) under Salmonella enterica. RNAcentral describes it as "partial 23S ribosomal RNA". It matches the Rfam family "Bacterial large subunit ribosomal RNA", at positions 1 to 586 of the family's 2925-position model. The record is from RNAcentral. RNAcentral also lists the same sequence under 1 other name. Lineage: Bacteria; Pseudomonadati; Pseudomonadota; Gammaproteobacteria; Enterobacterales; Enterobacteriaceae.